This 407-nucleotide ribosomal RNA is filed under the name uncultured bacterium. Its description in RNAcentral is "bacterial SSU rRNA". It matches the Rfam family "Bacterial small subunit ribosomal RNA", at positions 355 to 776 of the family's 1533-position model. The record is from RNAcentral.
UGGGGAAUCUUGGACAAUGGGGGCAACCCUGAUCCAGCGAUGCCGCGUGAGUGAAGAAGGCCUUCGGGUUGUAAAGCUCUUUUGGUUGGGAAGAAACAAAUGACGGUACCAACAGAAUAAGCACCGGCUAACUCUGUGCCAGCAGCCGCGGUAAUACAGAGGGUGCAAGCGUUAAUCGGAUUUACUGGGCGUAAAGAGCACGUAGGUGGUUGCAUAAGUCUGUUAUAAAAUCCCCGGGCUCAACCUGGGAACUGUAAUAGAAACUAUGCGGCUAGAGUAUGGGAGAGGAGAGUAGAAUUCCUGGUGUAGCGGUGAAAUGCGUAGAUAUCAGGAAGAAUGACAGUGGCGAAGGCGACUCUCUGGUCCAAUACUGACACUGAGGUGCGAAAGCGUGGGGAGCAAAAGGG